GAACGAUACGGCGUCGAGCGGCGGACGGGUGAGUAAUGCCUAGGAAAUUGCCCUGAUGUGGGGGAUAACCAUUGGAAACGAUGGCUAAUACCGCAUAAUGCCUACGGGCCAAAGAGGGGGACCUUCGGGCCUCUCGCGUCAGGAUAUGCCUAGGUGGGAUUAGCUAGUUGGUGAGGUAAGGGCUCACCAAGGCGACGAUCCCUAGCUGGUCUGAGAGGAUGAUCAGCCACACUGGAACUGAGACACGGUCCAGACUCCUACGGGAGGCAGCAGUGGGGAAUAUUGCACAAUGGGCGCAAGCCUGAUGCAGCCAUGCCGCGUGUGUGAAGAAGGCCUUCGGGUUGUAAAGCACUUUCAGUCGUGAGGAAGGUAGUGUAGUUAAUAGCUGCAUUAUUUGACGUUAGCGACAGAAGAAGCACCGGCUAACUCCGUGCCAGCAGCCGCGGUAAUACGGAGGGUGCGAGCGUUAAUCGGAAUUACUGGGCGUAAAGCGCAUGCAGGUGGUUUGUUAAGUCAGAUGUGAAAGCCCGGGGCUCAACCUCGGAAUUGCAUUUGAAACUGGCAGACUAGAGUACUGUAGAGGGGGGUAGAAUUUCAGGUGUAGCGGUGAAAUGCGUAGAGAUCUGAAGGAAUACCGGUGGCGAAGGCGGCCCCCUGGACAGAUACUGACACUCAGAUGCGAAAGCGUGGGGAGCAAACAGGAUUAGAUACCCUGGUAGUCCACGCCGUAAACGAUGUCUACUUGGAGGUUGUGGCCUUGAGCCGUGGCUUUCGGAGCUAACGCGUUAAGUAGACCGCCUGGGGAGUACGGUCGCAAGAUUAAAACUCAAAUGAAUUGACGGGGGCCCGCACAAGCGGUGGAGCAUGUGGUUUAAUUCGAUGCAACGCG
This 889-nucleotide ribosomal RNA is filed under the name Vibrio sp. R8B5. Its description in RNAcentral is "bacterial SSU rRNA". It matches the Rfam family "Bacterial small subunit ribosomal RNA", at positions 77 to 963 of the family's 1533-position model. Lineage: Bacteria; Pseudomonadati; Pseudomonadota; Gammaproteobacteria; Vibrionales; Vibrionaceae. The record is from RNAcentral.